RNAcentral lists this unclassified non-coding RNA (1829 nucleotides) under Pomacea canaliculata. RNAcentral's name for it is "uncharacterized LOC112568902, transcript variant X18". The record is from RNAcentral. Lineage: Eukaryota; Metazoa; Mollusca; Gastropoda; Architaenioglossa; Ampullariidae.
UUUAGAGAGGAGACACUGUCAUAUAGUUUGUUCACUUCAUUUGGAUGCACAAUGGUAGCAGGUGGUCAACCAUCGAUUCAUCGUUUAAAACAGAUCCUGUGGCUGAUUUCUUUGAUGGAAAUAUUAGGAGCAGCUGAGCGGAAAUUUAAGUGUUCUCCAGGAUCAAUUGCAAGCAGCAUUCGACUGUUCGACAAUACAGUACGUUUUUCUAACUUAUACAUACUCUAAGAUGGCCUAUUCCAUGGUGAGUUUUUGGAAGAAGCAGAAGGUUUAAAGGGGCCAGUAGCUGUAAUUCCAGACAGCUGGCUGCUAGCAUUUUUAAAGAUUCCAGUGGUCGCAGGAUGUGCAACUGGCCAUCAAAAUCUGCAAGCUUCAUUAUUAAACACCAGAUUCCUCAUGGCCCAUACAUCCAGUUCGCCUGCACAAGUCAUUAAGACAAAGGAAGGAGAUAAAAAGAUGAUAUCUGGACUGUUGGAACAAGUAACAGGGAUGCACAGCUAACAGACAGCGAAGGAGAAAAGAAUGCCGAGGAAUCACUAUGUGAUGACCAUUCAAUGCAGCAGUGUCCACUACCAUUUCCAUACUCUCUGCCGCCAGUAGUUGUCAGCCCUAGGGUGUCCCCAAGUAGCAGCUAUCGACAAAGUACUAUUUCACCUUUGCCUUCACAUCUCCAACACUCAUUCUCAGGUUUUCAUCCUGCCAGCAUAGGGACCCACAACCCCUUGGAAGUUUCAGCUCAACUAGAGAAACUUGGGACAGCAGCAACUGUCUUUUCUGGAAGCGAUGAGAGAUGAUAUAAAAGAUGUGAAAAGGAGGCUUCAAGGAUGGAGAAACAACACCAGGAAAAGGAGGUGACAGGAGGAAAACUGCCAGAGGGGUUCCAGUUUCCCUUAUAAUCUUCAGAGGAUGUUGACCAUCUGGAGUGGGAUUGGAAGACUGACCCUGGAAAACGGACACACUUGGAAUGCCAUUUGACGAUGGGUGGAAUAUUCACUUUAAAGCAUGUGGUGAGGAGCAUACUAUCUGUGCUAUUGUCAACUGACUCAGCCCAGUGUUACAACUUCAAUGGUCUGAAAGAGAAGAAGGGACUCAAGAACCACUCCUUUAUUUUACAAACAGUUCAGGAUGCUGCAAGAAAAAGUUAUCCUGAAGCUACAGAUGCUGACCUGCAGGUGUAUACAUCAAUUUGGUUAGCUGGUGCUCGGGAUCGAGAGAAUAGCAGAAGGGAAGGGCCUGAGCACAGCCUGUACAAGUCAGUAAAUUGUUAUGGGGUGGACGACGAGUAAAGCUGUACAACUUUACCUGCAGAAAAAAAGACUGUUAGGUUUUUAACGAUAUUUUUUUUUUAUCAGCUAUUUAUAAAAGUACAAGUUUUAAAUUUGCAUAUUUUUUUUAAAUGGUUGUAGUUAAUACCAGAAGCUGCAAUCCAGCCUGGAACCGUUUAUAUUUAAUCUCGUGGAUUUUAUUUAUUAUAAGAAAUGUCUGUUGAAGCUUAAAUCACUCCCUUUUGAAAGCAAUUCAGUUCAUGCUCAUCAUUUGAUAUAUUGUAAUAGAUCUUUGAACCUUUUCUUUGGGAAAAAUCUAAUUAAUGUAAAACUGCAAUUUAAUUUUAAUGGUUUUGUCAGUGGAUACUUGUUUUUGCUUCUUCUACAACUCAUAAUCAAAUAACGAGUGUUGCAUUAACAUGUCAUGAGGAAACAUUUUUUAUGCAUUUAAAUGGGACAAUGCUUCACAAUUGUUGUAUAUUUAAAAUUAUUUUUUUAAUGACCUUGCUUUUUAUCCUUAUUUUCACAGACAUUUUAACUUCAAUAAACGUCAGUAAAAGACAA